Small nucleolar RNA from Perca fluviatilis (European perch), 83 nucleotides. RefSeq annotates it as small nucleolar RNA SNORD79. Lineage: Eukaryota; Metazoa; Chordata; Actinopteri; Perciformes; Percidae. The record is from RefSeq and is a predicted model, not a curated record. The transcript has a single exon.
AACUGUCAAUUGAUGAUAUUGUUUACAAAACAAUGGGAAUCUCUCUGAAUAAGAGUGAAAGAAUACUUGUAACUGAUGCAGUG